This 478-nucleotide ribosomal RNA is filed under the name uncultured bacterium. Its description in RNAcentral is "partial 16S ribosomal RNA". It matches the Rfam family "Bacterial small subunit ribosomal RNA", at positions 28 to 523 of the family's 1533-position model. The record is from RNAcentral.
GACGAACGCUGGCGGCGUGCUUAACACAUGCAAGUCGAACGGUAAGGCCCUUCGGGGUACACGAGUGGCGAACGGGUGAGUAACACGUGGGUGAUCUGCCCUGCACUUCGGGAUAAGCCUGGGAAACUGGGUCUAAUACCGGAUAGGACUCCGGACUGCAUGGUCUGGGGUGGAAAGCUGUUACGGUGUGGGAUGGGCCCGCGGCCUAUCAGCUUGUUGGUGGGGUGAUGGCCUACCAAGGCGACGACGGGUAGGCGACCUGAGAGGGUGACCGGCCACACUGGGACUGAGAUACGGCCCAGACUCCUACGGGAGGCAGCAGUGGGGAAUAUUGCACAAUGGGCGCAAGCCUGAUGCAGCGACGCCGCGUGAGGGAUGACGGCCUUCGGGUUGUAAACCUCUUUCAGCACCGACGAAGCGCAAGUGACGGUAGGUGCAGAAGAAGGACCGGCCAACUACGUGCCAGCCGCCGCAGUAA